RNAcentral lists this ribosomal RNA (427 nucleotides) under Leucobacter tardus. RNAcentral's name for it is "bacterial SSU rRNA". It matches the Rfam family "Bacterial small subunit ribosomal RNA", at positions 376 to 813 of the family's 1533-position model. Lineage: Bacteria; Bacillati; Actinomycetota; Actinomycetes; Micrococcales; Microbacteriaceae. The record is from RNAcentral.
CGCAAGCCUGAUGCAGCAACGCCGCGUGAGGGAUGACGGCCUUCGGGUUGUAAACCUCUUUUAGUAGGGAAGAAGCCUUCGGGUGACGGUACCUGCAGAAAAAGCACCGGCUAACUACGUGCCAGCAGCCGCGGUAAUACGUAGGGUGCAAGCGUUGUCCGGAAUUAUUGGGCGUAAAGAGCUCGUAGGCGGCUUGUCGCGUCUGCUGUGAAAACCCGAGGCUCAACCUCGGGCCUGCAGUGGGUACGGGCAAGCUAGAGUGCGGUAGGGGAGAUUGGAAUUCCUGGUGUAGCGGUGGAAUGCGCAGAUAUCAGGAGGAACACCGAUGGCGAAGGCAGAUCUCUGGGCCGUAACUGACGCUGAGGAGCGAAAGCAUGGGGAGCGAACAGGAUUAGAUACCCUGGUAGUCCAUGCCGUAAACGUUGGG